Molecule: ribosomal RNA, 810 nt
Filed under: uncultured bacterium
Lineage: Bacteria
Description: bacterial SSU rRNA
Rfam family: Bacterial small subunit ribosomal RNA
Source: RNAcentral
GACGAACUUUGGCGGCGUGCCUAAUACAUGCAAGUCGUACGCUUCUUUUUCCACCGGAGCUUGCUCCACCGGAAAAAGAGGAGUGGCGAACGGGUGAGUAACACGUGGGUAACCUGCCCAUCAGAAGGGGAUAACACUUGGAAACAGGUGCUAAUACCGUAUAACAAUCGAAACCGCAUGGUUUUGAUUUGAAAGGCGCUUUCGGGUGUCGCUGAUGGAUGGACCCGCGGUGCAUUAGCUAGUUGGUGAGGUAACGGCUCACCAAGGCCACGAUGCAUAGCCGACCUGAGAGGGUGAUCGGCCACAUUGGGACUGAGACACGGCCCAAACUCCUACGGGAGGCAGCAGUAGGGAAUCUUCGGCAAUGGACGAAAGUCUGACCGAGCAACGCCGCGUGAGUGAAGAAGGUUUUCGGAUCGUAAAACUCUGUUGUUAGAGAAGAAUAAGGAUGAGAGUAACUGUUCAUCCCUUGACGGUAUCUAACCAGAAAGCCACGGCUAACUACGUGCCAGCAGCCGCGGUAAUACGUAGGUGGCAAGCGUUGUCCGGAUUUAUUGGGCGUAAAGCGAGCGCAGGCGGUUUCUUAAGUCUGAUGUGAAAGCCCCCGGCUCAACCGGGGAGGGUCAUUGGAAACUGGGAGACUUGAGUGCAGAAGAGGAGAGUGGAAUUCCAUGUGUAGCGGUGAAAUGCGUAGAUAUAUGGAGGAACACCAGUGGCGAAGGCGGCUCUCUGGUCUGUAACUGACGCUGAGGCUCGAAAGCGUGGGGAGCAAACAGGAUUAGAUACCCUGGUAGUCCACGCCGUAAACGA